AGUGAACGCUGGCGGUAGGCCUAACACAUGCAAGUCGAACGGCAGCACAGUAAGAGCUUGCUCUUACGGGUGGCGAGUGGCGGACGGGUGAGGAAUACAUCGGAAUCUACUUUUUCGUGGGGGACAACGUAGGGAAACUUACGCUAAUACCGCAUACGACCUACGGGUGAAAGCAGGGGAUCUUCGGACCUUGCGCGAUUGAAUGAGCCGAUGUCGGAUUAGCUAGUUGGCGGGGUAAAGGCCCACCAAGGCGACGAUCCGUAGCUGGUCUGAGAGGAUGAUCAGCCACACUGGAACUGAGACACGGUCCAGACUCCUACGGGAGGCAGCAGUGGGGAAUAUUGGACAAUGGGCGCAAGCCUGAUCCAGCCAUACCGCGUGGGUGAAGAAGGCCUUCGGGUUGUAAAGCCCUUUUGUUGGGAAAGAAAAGCAGCAGGUUAAUACCCCGCUAUUCUGACGGUACCCAAAGAAUAAGCACCGGCUAACUUCGUG
Molecule: ribosomal RNA, 492 nt
Filed under: uncultured bacterium
Lineage: Bacteria
Description: partial 16S ribosomal RNA
Rfam family: Bacterial small subunit ribosomal RNA
Source: RNAcentral